UACAGGGGGUGCAAACGUUGCUCGGAAUCAUUGGGCGUAAAGCGCACGUAGGCGGUCUGUUAUGUCGGAUGUGAAAGCCCUCGGCUCAACUGAGGAAGUGCAUCCGAAACUGGCAGGCUAGAGUACUAAAGAGGGUCGCGGAGUUCCCGGUGUAGAGGUGAAAUUCGUAGAUAUCGGGAGGAACACCGGUGGCGAAGGCGGCGACCUGGGUAGAUACUGACGCUGAGGUGCGAAAGCGUGGGGAGCAAACAGG
This 253-nucleotide ribosomal RNA is filed under the name uncultured bacterium. RNAcentral's name for it is "partial 16S ribosomal RNA". It matches the Rfam family "Bacterial small subunit ribosomal RNA", at positions 524 to 776 of the family's 1533-position model. The record is from RNAcentral.